AGAGUUUGAUCAUGGCUCAGAACGAACGCUGGCGGCAGGCCUAACACAUGCAAGUCGAACGCCGUAGCAAUACGGAGUGGCAGACGGGUGAGUAACACGUGGGAACAUGCCCUUCGGUUCGGAAUAACUCAGGGAAACUUGAGCUAAUAACGGAUACGCCCAAGGUUUUACCUUGGAGAAAGAUUUAUCGCCGAAGGAUUGGCCCGCGUCUGAUUAGCUAGUUGGUGGGGUAAUGGCUCACCAAGGCGACGAUCAGUAGCUGGUCUGAGAGGAUGAUCAGCCACAUUGGGACUGAGACACGGCCCAAACUCCUACGGGAGGCAGCAGUGGGGAAUAUUGGACAAUGGGCGCAAGCCUGAUCCAGCCAUGCCGCGUGAGUGAUGAAGGCCUUAGGGUUGUAAAGCUCUUUUACCCGGGAAGAUAAUGACGGUACCGGGAGAAUAAGCCCCGGCUAACUUCGUGCCAGCAGCCGCGGUAAUACGAAGGGGGCUAGCGUUGUUCGGAAUCACUGGGCGUAAAGCGCACGUAGGCGGAUCCUUAAGUCAGGGGUGAAAUCCCGAGGCUCAACCUCGGAACUGCCUUUGAUACUGGGGAUCUUGAGUCCGGGAGAGGUGAGUGGAAUUGCGAGUGUAGAGGUGAAAUUCGUAGAUAUUCGCAAGAACACCAGUGGCGAAGGCGGCUCACUGGCCCGGUACUGACGCUGAGGUGCGAAAGCGUGGGGAGCAAACAGGAUUAGAUACCCUAGUAGUCC
RNAcentral lists this ribosomal RNA (751 nucleotides) under uncultured bacterium. RNAcentral's name for it is "bacterial SSU rRNA". It matches the Rfam family "Bacterial small subunit ribosomal RNA", at positions 8 to 796 of the family's 1533-position model. The record is from RNAcentral.